This 1553-nucleotide small RNA is filed under the name Pan troglodytes (chimpanzee). RNAcentral describes it as "retained intron". Lineage: Eukaryota; Metazoa; Chordata; Mammalia; Primates; Hominidae. The record is from RNAcentral.
GCCUUAUUCGAGAGGUGUCAGGGCUGGGAGACUAGGAUGUCGGACACGUGGAGCUCUAUCCAGGCCCACAAGAAGCAGCUGGACUCUCUGCGGGAGAGGCUGCAGCGGAGGCGGAAGCAGGACUCGGGGCACUUGGAUCUACGGAAUCCAGAGGCAGCAUUGUCUCCAACCUUCCGUAGUGACAGCCCAGUGCCUACUGCACCCACCUCUGGUGGCCCUAAGCCCAGCACAGCUUCAGCAGUUCCUGAAUUAGCUACAGAUCCUGAGUUAGAGAAGAAGUUGCUACACCACCUCUCUGAUCUGGCCUUAACAUUGCCCACUGAUGCUGUGUCCAUCUGUCUUGCCAUCUCCACGCCAGAUGCUCCUGCCACUCAAGAUGGGGUAGAAAGCCUCCUGCAGAAGUUUGCAGCUCAGGAGUUGAUUGAGGUAAAGCGAGGUCUCCUACAAGAUGAUGCACAUCCUACUCUUGUAACCUAUGCUGACCAUUCCAAGCUCUCUGCCAUGAUGGGUGCUGUGGCAGAAAAGAAGGGCCCUGGGGAGGUAGCAGGGACUGUAACAGGGCAGAAGCGGCGUGCAGAACAGGACUCAACUACAGUAGCUGCCUUUGCCAGUUCGUUAGUCUCUGGUCUGAACUCUUCAGCAUCGGAACCAGCAAAGGAGCCAGCCAAGAAAUCAAGGAAACAUGCUGCCUCAGAUGUUGAUCUGGAGAUAGAGAGCCUUCUGAACCAACAGUCCACUAAGGAACAACAGAGCAAGAAGGUAGGGGUCAUGUGAAAAUACUCUCACAAUAUGCUCUUAAUUAUAGCUUUGUUUGACAGGGAUUUACCCCUAGGGCAAAGAACUGUUUACAGCAGUGGUUCUCAACUGGGGAUGAUUCCCUACUGCCCAGCUCCCAGGGGAUCUGGUAAUGUCCGGAGACAUUUUUAUUGUCACACAUGGGGGAGUGCUAUUGGCAUCUAGUGGGGGUAGAGGCCAGGGAUGUUGUUAAACAUCCUACAGUGCAUAGUGGGACAAACCCCCACAACAAACAGUUGUCUGUCCCAAAGUGUCAAUAAUGCCAACGUCGACAAAUUCUUAUUUAGAUAAUCUGUCACUGAAUCUGAAAGAAUUGGAUCAAGAGAAGAGGAAUCCAAAUAUAUAGAAAUAUAGGGAGAUGAAUGGAGAGGAAUACUAGAGCAAUUAUGGAAAUUGACUAAAUAAUGUGAAUUGGUUCUGAGUUUAAGUAUUGGCCUGACAUGAGUUCUUAUCUGUUUGGUACUUCUAGUGCGUGAGUUUGAACAAGUUAAUUAACUUCUCUUGAGCCUUAGUCUUCUCAUCUGUAACAUGAAGAUAAUACCAGCGUAUCCUGCCUUAUAGAAUUGAAUAGACUCUGAGCUAAAAAGUAAAGUGUUUAGCACUAUACUUUUUAGUUCAGCACCCAGUAAAUAUUUUUUUUGUAGAAGGAAUGCCUUCCUGGGAAGGGGAUGUUAACAUAAUGCUUAGUGGUAGGAACCAGGCCUCUUCCAUUUUAAUUUCAUCCCAAAUGCAUAUUUGUGAGGAAGGACUGAACCCCU